This 915-nucleotide ribosomal RNA is filed under the name uncultured archaeon. Its description in RNAcentral is "bacterial SSU rRNA". It matches the Rfam family "Archaeal small subunit ribosomal RNA", at positions 1 to 923 of the family's 1478-position model. The record is from RNAcentral.
UUCUGGUUGAUCCUGCCGGACCUGACUGCUAUCGGAUUGAUACUAAGCCAUGCAAGUCUUUGUAGUAAUACAAGGCAUACGGCUCAGUAACGCGUAGUCAACCUACCCUAUGGAUGGGGAUAAUCUCGGGAAACUGAGCAUAAUACCCAACAGAUCAUCAGUUCUGGAAUGGUUGAUGAUUCAAAUGAUUUUUCGCCAUAGGAUGGGACUGCGGCCUAUCAGCUUGUUGGUGAGGUAAUGGCCCACCAAGGCAAUUACAGGUACGGGCUCUGAGAGGAGAAGCCCGGAGAUGGGUACUGAGACAAGGACCCAGGCCCUAUGGGGCGCAGCAGGCGAAAAAACUUUGCAAUGUGCGAAAGCACGACAAGGUUAAUCCGAGUGAUUUCUGCUAAAGGAAUCUUUUACCAGUUCUAAAAAUACUGGCGAAUAAGGGGUGGGCAAGUUCUGGUGUCAGCCGCCGCGGUAAAACCAGCACCUCAAGUGGUCAGGAGGAUUAUUGGGCCUAAAGCAUCCGUAGCCGGCUCUGUAAGUUUUCGGUUAAAUCUAUAUGCUCAACGUAUAGGCUGCCGAAAAUACUGCAUAGCUAGGGAAUGGGAGAGGUAGGCGGUACUCGGUAGGAAGGGGUAAAAUCCUUUGAUCUAUCGAUGACCACCUGUGGCGAAGGCGGUCUACCAGAACAUGUUCGACGGUGAGGGAUGAAAGCUGGGGGAGCAAACCGGAUUAGAUACCCGGGUAGUCCCAGCUGUAAACGAUGCAGACUCGAUAAUGCAUUGGCACAUAGCCAGUGCAGUGUCGCAGGGAAGCCGUUAAGUCUGCCGCCUGGGAAGUACGUACGCAAGUAUGAAACUUAAAGGAAUUGGCGGGGGAGCACCGCAAGGGGUGAAGCCUGCGGUUCAAUUGGAGUCAACGCCGGGA